GAUGAACGCUGGCGGCGUGCCUAAUACAUGCAAGUCGAGCGAACGGACGAGAAGCUUGCUUUUCUGAUGUUAGCGGCGGACGGGUGAGUAACACGUGGAUAACCUACCUAUAAGACUGGGAUAACUUCGGGAAACCGGAGCUAAUACCGGAUAAUAUUCUGAACCGUAUGGUUCAAAAGUGAAAGACGGUCUUGCUGUCACUUAUAGAUGGAUCCGCGCUGCAUUAGCUAGUUGGUAAGGUAACGGCUUACCAAGGCAACGAUGCAUAGCCGACCUGAGAGGAUGAUCGACCACCCUGGAACUUAGACACGGUCCAGACUCCUACGAGAGGCAGCAGUAGGGAAUCUUCCGCGAUGGGCGGAAGCCUGACGGAGCAACGCCGCGUCAGUGAUGAAGGUCUUCGGAUCGUAAAACUCUGUUAUUAGGGAAGAACAUAUGUGUAAGUAACUGUGCACAUCUUGACGGUACCUAAUCAGAAAGCCACGGCUAACUACGUG
This 497-nucleotide ribosomal RNA is filed under the name uncultured bacterium. RNAcentral's name for it is "partial 16S ribosomal RNA". It matches the Rfam family "Bacterial small subunit ribosomal RNA", at positions 28 to 507 of the family's 1533-position model. The record is from RNAcentral.